UACGUAGGAGGCGAGCGUUGUCCGGAAUUACUGGGCGUAAAGGGCGCGCAGGCGGCCCUCCAAGUCAGGCGUGAAAGCCCCGGGCUCAACCCGGGAAUAGCGCUUGAGACUGGGGGGCUUGAGUUCGGGAGAGGAGAGUGGAAUUCCCAGUGUAGAGGUGAAAUUCGUAGAUAUUGGGAAGAACACCGGUGGCGAAGGCGGCUCUCUGGACCGACACUGACGCUGAGGCGCGAAAGCGUGGGGAGCAAACAGG
This 253-nucleotide ribosomal RNA is filed under the name uncultured bacterium. Its description in RNAcentral is "partial 16S ribosomal RNA". It matches the Rfam family "Bacterial small subunit ribosomal RNA", at positions 524 to 776 of the family's 1533-position model. The record is from RNAcentral.